GGGGGGGGUAUGUUUAAGGUGUUUGAGGGGGGAGUUUGGGAAUUGAGGGGUCUCUACUCCAAUUCUAGAAUGUGUAAAUCAUGUGAUACACUGGAUUCUAGAAUUUAAAUAUUUUUUAUUUUCGUUGUCGCAGGAAAGCUUUCUGUAUGUAUGGUUGGCGUGGACUAGAAAGGGGGAAAGGGGGAUGCAGGUGGAGGUUGUUCAGAAAUCAGAGGGUAAGAGGAUGAAGUGUUAUAGUGUUGAGGAUGAAGAGGUGCAGGGAUGAGGUAGUUGGAUGAUGAGGCUGACGAGGUGCUUGGGGACGAUGAGGUUGUUGAGUGAGACACGUUAACAGAUUAACAGCGGAGGGGCGGGGAAGUCAGGGGGGGCGAACUUUGAACCGUCGUGCGUUUGUGGACCCAGCGGUUAGCGUCAUUCUGGAACGGAGGAGGGCGCGUUGAAGGGGACACAUUCUCCCCAAGUUAACCUGCUGUCUUGUGGCCGGGCUAAGCAACCAUCUAACCCUAUGUGGGAACUGCUUCCGACCUGGGUUCUACGGACCUGUCGUACGGAGAGUUUGUGGGGCGCACCCCUUGUACCGCGCCGGUUUGGAAUGGUGGUGCCAGUUCUGUAAGGCAGUGAGCAGGUGCUGUGGUGGGACACCUGUGACAUUCAGCACAUCAUAGAAAUAGAACACAAAGAACAAAAACAUUCACCAUUCCAAAUUCCCAAAAACAACAAUUACCGAUUAAAACAUUGCCUGAAGCUGAGACUUUUGCUUCUUUGGCCGUAUCAGACGAAAAUAAGGUGAUUGUUCAAUCUAUAUAUUGCGUUUAUACGUUGUGGUAUUGUGUGUAGUGCAGCGGGAUGAAGCGUGGUUGAGGUCCGGGAAGGUAAAGACGUGGGUUGAGGUACGGUAAGUUAAAGACGUGGGUUGAGGUACGGGAAGGUAAAGACGUGGGUUGAGGUACGGUAAGGUAAAGACGUGGGUUGUGGUACGGGAAGGUAAAGACGUGGGUUGAGGUACGGGAAGGUAAAGACGUGGGUUGAGGUACGGGAAGGUAAAGACGUGGGUUGAGGUACGGGAAGGUAAAGACGUGGGUUGAGGUACAGCAAGGUAAAGACGUGGGUUGAGGUACGGGAAGGUAAAGACGUGGGUUGAGGUACAGGAGGUAGCCAGGAUGUUUACGAUUCAGCUGCCCUGGGGGUGAGGAUUCAGAAAACCAGGCAGAUCCGGACGCCUGAUCUCAGUUAAGGGCAUUAGAAUUCAAUGUCAACUUGAUUGUAUGGUUUAAACGGUUUCAGAUCCUGUUUGAAUUGUUAAGGCCUUCUGUGUCAAAAUGGUUGUGUCCCAAACGGAACAGUAUAUAGUUCACUACCAUGUCACCUGAGCUCUAUGGUCCCAGGUUAAAUCAGUGGUCUAUGAGGAAACAGAGGAGAAAUAAUCAAUGUAUUGGAGACUGUGCUACAAAUGUGUGGCCCAGAAUUUGAAGUCACAGUUCUAUGAAAACAAAUGAGGACAUAGUAAAAUUUCUACAUUAAUAGCCUUUUUCGACAGGGUAUACUUUUAAAUGUUCCUUUGAAUCACCAACUAGGAUUGUGAACUGCUCCAUGUAGACAUUUCUGUCGACAUCCAUUAAUCAACGAGCCAAAGUUUUGCCGUCUCACCAGGCACUUUGAUAAAGACAGUGAUUACUUUCUUUUCAGAGCUGACAGUUUACUCCCGGGCCUCGUGCUACAAUGCUUUUACUCAGACUCCAAAAGGAAUACUUUAGUUUUGUACAAAGUGGUACCAAUGCGAACAGUUUUAUACAAAUUACGCAGCAACGUUGAAAUCUAAACGCAAGCACCACAAACUGCUCAAAAGAGGUUUACCUUUAAUCAAAACAUCGUUCGCUGAGUAUGAUCCCUGUAAGCAAAAGAACUAAACAAAAAAACAGGCUAACGUUUUUUUUCUCCUUCUAGCUGAACAAUCUGACAUUCUCGAAUCACGCUACUUAUUAACCAAUAACUGUUACUGUUCUCAAGAGCGGCAUCAAGAUUAGAAUUGUUUCUCAAUGUGGAAACCAUUUUGUAGGAUGGAGAGACAGAUGGGAGAGAUAAAGAGAGACAGAGUAAGGAGAGAGAGAGAGAGAGAGAGAGAGAGAGAGAGAGAGACAGAGAGACAGAGUAAGGAGAGAGAGAGAGAGAGAACUUCACAUAGCAACAGAUCACUGGACAAGAGAUGAACAGAGUGUAGGGGGUUGUGUGUGUCUGGUUGAGUCCCAGCAUAAUG
Molecule: long non-coding RNA, 2254 nt
Organism: Esox lucius (northern pike)
Lineage: Eukaryota; Metazoa; Chordata; Actinopteri; Esociformes; Esocidae
Source: Ensembl